This 319-nucleotide ribosomal RNA is filed under the name Clostridioides difficile. RNAcentral's name for it is "partial 23S ribosomal RNA". It matches the Rfam family "Bacterial large subunit ribosomal RNA", at positions 2346 to 2664 of the family's 2925-position model. Lineage: Bacteria; Bacillati; Bacillota; Clostridia; Peptostreptococcales; Peptostreptococcaceae. The record is from RNAcentral.
AGAGUGUAAAGGCAAAAGAGAGCUUGAUUGCAAGACAUACAGGUCGAGCAAGGAUGAAAAUCGGACUUAGUGAUCCGGUGGUUCUGCGUGGAAGGGCCAUCGCUCAACGGAUAAAAGCUACCCUGGGGAUAACAGGCUUAGCUCCCCCAAGAGUCCACAUCGACGGGGAGGUUUGGCACCUCGAUGUCGGCUCAUCACAUCCUGGGGCUGUAGUAGGUCCCAAGGGUUGGGCUGUUCGCCCAUUAAAGUGGUACGCGAGCUGGGUUCAGAACGUCGUGAGACAGUUCGGUCCCUAUCCGUCGCAGGCGUAGGAAAUUUG